GACGAACCGUGCAAACGUUGUUCGGAAUCACUGGGCUUAAAGGGCGCGUAGGCGGUCGGUCAAGUCCGGGGUGAAAUCCUGCAGCUCAACUGUAGAAGUGCCUUGGAUACUGACUGGCUAGAGGGAGGUAGGGGUCUUUGGAACUUCUGGUGGAGCGGUGAAAUGCGUUGAUAUCAGAAGGAACGCCGGUGGCGAAAGCGAAAGACUGGACCUCUUCUGACGCUGAGGCGCGAAAGCCAGGGGAGCAAACGGG
This 253-nucleotide ribosomal RNA is filed under the name uncultured bacterium. Its description in RNAcentral is "partial 16S ribosomal RNA". It matches the Rfam family "Bacterial small subunit ribosomal RNA", at positions 524 to 776 of the family's 1533-position model. The record is from RNAcentral.